CCCAGUUGUUGGAACAAGUUUGGAACAAGCUAUUAACAACUUGUAACAAGCUUAAUGGCAUUAUUAGACUUGUCACAAGGUUGCUCUAACACGUUUGAGACAAUCAUUAUGUAACAAGAAUGUUACAAGGUUGGCGACACAAGAUUGUAACAAUAUUGUUAUAUCAUGACUGUAUCGGACUUGUUGGAACAACCUUGCAACAAGUCUGAUAAUAUAAAGUUUGUUCGUUCACUGCAACCAGGUAUAUCAAUCAUGUUUCGCUCGCUACUCUAGUUUAAAUAAAUUAUUACA
Molecule: non-coding RNA, 291 nt
Organism: Paramuricea clavata
Lineage: Eukaryota; Metazoa; Cnidaria; Anthozoa; Malacalcyonacea; Plexauridae
Source: the annotation of a GenBank genome assembly